RNAcentral lists this ribosomal RNA (253 nucleotides) under uncultured bacterium. Its description in RNAcentral is "partial 16S ribosomal RNA". It matches the Rfam family "Bacterial small subunit ribosomal RNA", at positions 524 to 776 of the family's 1533-position model. The record is from RNAcentral.
UACGUAGGGUGCAAGCGUUAAUCGGAAUUACUGGGCGUAAAGGGCUCGUAGGUGGCCAACUAAGUCAGACGUGAAAUCCCUCGGCUUAACCGGGGAACUGCGUCUGAUACUGGAUGGCUUGAGUUCGGGAGAGGGAUGCGGAAUUCCAGGUGUAGCGGUGAAAUGCGUAGAUAUCUGGAGGAACACCGGUGGCGAAGGCGGCAUCCUGGACCGACACUGACGCUGAGGAGCGAAAGUGUGGGGAGCGAACAGG